GGUAGAUUCUUUAUCGUCUGAGCUACCUCUUACCUUAAUUUCACGUAGGCUCGACUCUGUGGAGGCUGGUACUUAUUUGCGGCCUAAUAGUUGAAUAUUUACUGAAGGCCUAAAGUGAGUUACAAGUUUGGAAAAGAAGAUUUGACCAGGUACCUUGGUGUUUAUUUAAACUAAGAGAAAAAGGGCACAUCUUCAUGCAAUACUUAUUUGGUUCUUUAAAUAACAAUUGUGACAAAUAGCAGAAAGAAUUAAGGAAUGCAGCAGUUGAUAGCUGUUCAAAACAUCAAUAUUUUGGGUUGUACAUAAAGACAUGUCUCAAACACUUUUUGAAAUACCAUAAUAGCCAAUACUAGAGGCAUGCCUUCAGUAGGCACGGGAAUGCAGUUUAGAAAAAAGAAAAAACAAAUCAUGCAAGACUACUGAAUUUCAUUAAAAUCACUGAGCAAGAAAAGCAACAUUGGGAACUUCCCUGGUGGUGCAGUGGUUAAGAAUCUGCCUGACAACGCAGGAGACAGGGGCUCAAUCCCUUGUGAGGAAGAUCCCACAUGCCUGGGAGCAGGUAAGCCCCUGCACCACAAUUUCUGAGCCUGUGUGCUGCAGCUACUGAAGCCCAUGAACCCAAGAGUCAAGCACCACAACUUCUGAAACCUGCUUGCUUAAAGCCCGUGCUCUGCCACAAGAGAAGCCUGUGCCCCACAACAAGAGUAGGCCCUGCUAGUCACAUCGAGAAAAAGCUGGCGCGCAGCAACGAAGACCCAGUGCAACCAAAACAAGAAAAGCGACAUUGAACUCCACAUACUAAUUUCACACAGCAUGUACACAGCACCUUGACUUCAAUUGAAGAGAAAAGCUAAGACGCGCCUCUAUUUUUGGUGAACAAUUGAAUGGUAAACUUAGAUGACUUUUCCCCCUGGAUUUUACCUGGGAGUGAACUUUAAAAUUUUUAAUCUGAAAGAAGGCAAGUGGGACACUUUUAUACUUAUAUCACCACCACUGAUACUUCUUGGAUUACAGGAAGAUUCGCAUUUUUACAGCUCAUACACAUACACCACAGGCUGGAAUUCCUGUUAUGCUAGUCUCAGAGUUAUUCAACUUAUUUUGUGCAUCAGUUUAUGUAAUAAUUUCAUUCCUAUUGAUCUCUAAUAUCAUUAUCCCAUCACCAUUUCUAUUCCUUCUCUAUAAGGAAAUUAAAUCCAGUUCACAGAUACUUUCAAAAACGUGUGUCUCAAGUUUCCAAAAUAUCUGAAUUAUAUCUAAAAUGCCAAGUCUCUCUGAUGAUUUGCUGUUGUGUCUUCACUGUCCGGCUGGUAGAACUUGGAGAGUUCGCAUGUGUAUGAUCAGGUCACCUGAGAUGGCUGUUCUCUUCUCUCUAUACAUUAUCAUCUGUCAGUCGGUGCCUGCUUCACCUACACUCUACUUGCAACCGACUGUUCUACAUACUUGUCCUGGCCGCAGCCAGUGACUUCUUACGUUGAGAUCAGAACAUCUCUACCUUGAUAGCUUAACAAAGGGGCAGUGAGGGGCAUGCCUCUUUGCUAGUUUCCCUGGUAACCAAUGAGCCAACCCAAAGUCAGUUUCCCCUGUAACUGCUUACUUCCCUUUUCCCCCUGGAAUGAAGAGUACUGCCAGGCAGCCUUUCUCUGCUCCAAACUCCGACAUCUUGGUCUGUUUUGAUGUCACUAUGCAUCGGGCACAUGAACUUGGGUUUGACAUUACCAGUCCCUGUUGUGAGAAUUAAAUUUUUUCCUCUUUUUAUCAAAAUUGGAGAUCUUUUCCCCCAGUUUUUUUGUUUCUCCUCACAUGUCCUAUAAUUUCUCAAAGAGCAAUUACAAUGACCCAGAGUACAAGGACCAAUUCCUACAGUAUCCCUGGAAUGCACUCUGUUUAGUUCCAGACACUUAAGUUCAUUUAAAACAUCUGCAUUAUUAUCUGAUGCUCUUACACAUUUUUAUUAAGUUUCCAUUGCUUUUUCUUUUUUAAAACUUUGCAUAUUACUAAACCUUGCUUUACAGAAAAGAUGAAGAAAAACAAUUGGCUAUUUUCCUUGCUUAUUGUUAUCUCUUAGCAUUUAUGCUUACUUUAUCAAAGUGUUAGGUAGUUAGAAUAGGAAAAAGGAGUCCAAAAUGGCGGUGGCUAAAAGACAAGGAAAGGAAAAAGCCCGUGAAAAUGGGGGAAAAAAAAAGAAAAAAAAUCCGCGGACCGGAAUGAGAACUUCAGGUGAAACAAACACACUUAGCUAGCCCACUUUGCAUAGGGCCGGCUCAGGAGGGAGAAGACAAAUGUAUAAAAGGAGGAAGCCUAGAAAUCAUGAAGUUAAAAGACGCUUUACUCCUUGGAAGGAAAGUUAUGACCAACCUAGAC
Bos taurus (domestic cattle) is the source of this 2361-nucleotide long non-coding RNA. The record is from Ensembl. Lineage: Eukaryota; Metazoa; Chordata; Mammalia; Artiodactyla; Bovidae.